AGCUUUUCAAAAAAUAAUUUUCAUAUUUGUAAAACAAUUUUACAAUAUGAUUCUACCAACCAUAUUGCAUGUUUGAUUCAUAAUCAAGAUACAAGUGAAAUAAAUAUGAAACUACUUUAGAUCUAAUCUAAACAGGUUCAUGUAAUUGAAAUAAUUUCAACUUUAAACAAUUUUUUUGCACAAAAAUUAUUAACAAAAAGAUUUUAUUUCAGAUUUAAACAUCUUUUAAAUCUAAUAAAUCAUAAAUUUAAUCUAGAUCAUAUCUAACAAAUUUUUGAUUAAAGAUAGAUCUACACAAACUAGGACAACCUUUGCACUGUAAGGGGUAAACCUUACAGCAGGACAACCUUGCAGUUCGUGAUUGAUCUAAAAUUUUAAUUUUAGAUUUAAUAAUUAGAUUAUAAAUUAAAUCUAAUCUAAAAAAUAAUCUAAGCAUGUAUAAAUAAUCAUGUAAUAAAGAACCUAGGCUCUGAUACCAAUUGUAGGAACCAGAUCUAGGGUUUCAGGGUUAGAUCUUGAAACUUUUUCAAGAUCAUACAGCGGAA
This 545-nucleotide long non-coding RNA is filed under the name Elaeis guineensis (African oil palm). RNAcentral describes it as "long non-coding RNA (EGUI_LNC080187)". The record is from RNAcentral. Lineage: Eukaryota; Viridiplantae; Streptophyta; Magnoliopsida; Arecales; Arecaceae.